Molecule: ribosomal RNA, 434 nt
Filed under: uncultured Lachnospiraceae bacterium
Lineage: Bacteria; Bacillati; Bacillota; Clostridia; Lachnospirales; Lachnospiraceae
Description: partial 16S ribosomal RNA
Rfam family: Bacterial small subunit ribosomal RNA
Source: RNAcentral
ACGGAAGGCAGCAGUGGGGAAUAUUGCACAAUGGGGGAAACCCUGAUGCAGCGACGCCGCGUGAGUGAAGAAGUAUUUCGGUAUGUAAAGCUCUAUCAGCAGGAAAGAAAAUGACGGUACCUGACUAAGAAGCCCCGGCUAACUACGUGCCAGCAGCCGCGGUAAUACGUAGGGGGCAGGCGUUAUCCGGAUUUACUGGGUGUAAAGGGAGCGUAGACGGCUUUGCAAGUCUGAAGUGAAAGCCCGGGGCUCAACCCCGGAACUGCUUUGGAAACUGUAGAGCUAGAGUGCAGGAGAGGUAAGUGGAAUUCCUAGUGUAGCGGUGAAAUGCGUAGAUAUUAGGAGGAACACCAGUGGCGAAGGCGGCUUACUGGACUGUAACUGACGUUGAGGCUCGAAGGCGUGGGGAGCAAACAGGAUUAGAUACCCUGGUA